UUUGCCGGGGAGCAACGGGGUCCUUGCGAGGGCCUAAUGAGAGUACCCGGAGAAAAAGCAUCGGCUAACUCCGUGCCAGCAGCCGCGGUAAUACGGAGGAUGCGAGCGUUAUCCGGAUUUAUUGGGUUUAAAGGGUGCGUAGGCGGGCUGUUAAGUCAGCGGUCAAAUGUCGGGGCUCAACCCCGGCCUGCCGUUGAAACUGGUGGCCUCGAGUGGGCGAGAAGUAUGCGGAAUGCGUGGUGUAGCGGUGAAAUGCAUAGAUAUCACGCAGAACUCCGAUUGCGAAGGCAGCAUACCGGCGCCCGACUGACGCUGAGGCACGAAAGCGUGGGUAUCGAACAGGAUUAGAUACCCUGGUAGUCCACGCAGUAAACGAUGAAUGCUAGCUGUCCGGG
Molecule: ribosomal RNA, 395 nt
Filed under: uncultured bacterium
Lineage: Bacteria
Description: bacterial SSU rRNA
Rfam family: Bacterial small subunit ribosomal RNA
Source: RNAcentral